UACGGGGGGGGCAAGCGUUGUUCGGAAUUACUGGGCGUAAAGGGCUCGUAGGCGGCUCGGUAAGUCAGGUGUGAAACCUCCAGGCUCAACCUGGAGACGCCACCUGAUACUGCUGUGGCUAGAGUCCGGUAGGGGAGCGUGGAAUUCCUGGUGUAGCGGUGAAAUACGCAGAUAUCAGGAGGAACACCAGCGGCGAAGGCGGCGCUCUGGGCCGGAACUGACGCUGAGGAGCGAAAGCGUGGGUAGCAAACAGG
This 254-nucleotide ribosomal RNA is filed under the name uncultured bacterium. RNAcentral's name for it is "partial 16S ribosomal RNA". It matches the Rfam family "Bacterial small subunit ribosomal RNA", at positions 524 to 776 of the family's 1533-position model. The record is from RNAcentral.